CUAGUUUCACAUUGAAGCAUUCGACCGCUGGCCUCUUCUCGUUAAAUAGGGAUUCACUGGAAACAGCUUUUGGAGUGUACAUCGUUUAGAGUUGACUUUACUGGGUGAUGGCUGGACUAAGACCUUGUCAACUCUGCUCUGCUUGUCAUUCUUUCGAAGUCGCCUUCAGAAAAAUCUACGGUUCUUCGGAUUGUUCUUCGGCCGUUAUUUCUAUUAUUAUCCUUGCUAUUGUUAUAGGUUCAUGCAAUCAAUCUAAGCAUCAAUGUACUGGAACCCAAUGGCUUUCCACAAUCUACGGUUCCUCGGAUUGUUCUUCGGCUGUUAUUUCUAUUAUGAUCCUUGCUAUUGUUAUAGGUUCUUGCAAUCAAUCUAAGCAUGAAUGUACUGGAACCCAAUGGCUUUCCACGAAAUCAUGAUUUAUUAGCAAAGUUUAAAUCAAAAAAAUUGGGGAAUUAAUUAAACCUUUCAGUUGUAGAGAGUCUUUAUCCAUUUUUGGGGAUUUUUUAAGACUUCUACUUCCAUAAGCUUUAUUUUUAGAUGCAUUACGAUUUGAUCUUAAAAAGAUUAAUUGUAUCACAUGUGUGAUUUUGGUAAUAAUUAAUUCACAUACUUAUAAAAAGAGAAUCAAUGUUUCGAAUUAUAUCUGACAACAAUAAUAUUGGAUUUUCUAAUUUUAAAGUAUUAUUAUUAGCUGACAGUUAACAUGAUUAUUAGUCGUGAUUCUGUGGUAUAUUUUUUGAUAUAUAGUCGGUGAAUACAAUAUGUUGCAAAUAUUUGAAUUUUAUAUAAACAUAUGCAAAAUUGCGGCAAGCAUCAAGCUCAAUUUAGUAAAACUCAUUAUCUUGCUUUUAGUUUACAUCAUCGAAUUAACCGACGUUUUUUUUUUGUUGCUAAGAUUUGGAAUUAACCGACGUUAAGAGACAUAAAACCGUUGAUACUCUAUAAAGAAAAACCAAUAAAGCCAAACACUGCGCAGUUGAAAACGAUGGCUUCGACUGGUGACAUGUAGUAUUAGAGUUGAGUUACAAUAAAAUGUACGAUUUGAUGUAGUUUGCAGUAAAAACUAUGUGGUAUAAACUGUAGAUUUAUGUAGUGAGUUCGCAGUAAAAAUAUGAGUUACUAUUUUAUCAAUAUUAUUGAUUGGUAACAUUUUUGAUGUAUAAGUUGCAGUAUAUAUUAUUUUUUAAAAUAUAAAUAAUAUUUUAAUAAUAAUAGUGAAAAAAUAAAAUUCAUAAAUCAAAAUUAACUAAGGAUGUCAAAAAUUUAUGUACAUAAAUUUUUAAUUACCAAACAAUAUUAAAAAAAUAAAAUUAAUUGAACAUUUUAAUUGACUAUUUAAGUGAAACUUAUACAAAUAUUUUAUUUACAUAAAUUUAUAAUCACCACCGGACGACUUACCGAAUAGUUGGAUCACUGGAUCGACCGGGGGUGAACCGCGGAUUAAUAAAUAAAUAAAUUUUAUUAUAUAAUAAUAUAUUAGCUAUGAAAAUAAAUAUCUAAAAAUUAAAGUUUAAUAUUUUCUAAAUAUUUUUUAAAACAUAAAUAAUAGUUUGGAUAUGUAUAUAUUUUAUGUUUAAAAAGUAUUUAGAAAAUACUUAACUUUAGUUUUUAUAUAUUUAUUUUCAUUUGACAUACAAAAUAUCAAAAAAAAAAAUAGACUAUUUAAAAUUUUCGGUAAUAAAGUAAGAGCUAUGACAUCUAAAAAGAAUCAAGAUAUAAAAUUCAUAAAUAUUUAAAUGUCUAAUGUGAAUAAUAAAUUAAACUUCAAAUUCAAAAUAAACCAAAAAUAAAAGAUCAUUGUAAUAAAUUGUCAAUAACGGAAAUAAACUAACACCAAAUCACAUCAACUAAUUUUGGUUCUUUUUACCAUCGUUCACUUCAUUUUCUUCAGGUGACAUAGUGAAAUCUUCAUCAAAAUCUAAAAAUAACUAAUAUAAAACUGAAAAGGGAAACCUAACUUCUUCUUAAUUUUUUGUCAGCACCUAACUUCUUAAUUGAAAACUUAGAAUAUAAAACAUAAUCUAAAAACUAAAGAAGAAGAAGUAAAAUUUAUUUAUUGGUCCAACCGGUAUCCGGUUCCGGGUUUUAGUGGGUUAUUGCGGAUUUCUGAAUAUUGGGUUUUUCACAAAACUCAAACCAGAUGUUUUCUGGGUCACCGGUUUUACCGGUUCCAUCGCGGGUCCGGGUCAGGUUUCAAAACAAUGAUUAUAAUGAUUAAACACAUAUUAUUUGUAUAUUCCUGAUCAUUUGCAUGAACUUUAAACAAAAAUAUAUAUUACUCCAUCCGUUUCACAAAGAUAGAUUUUCUAGCGCUUUCGCACAUGUUAAGAAAACACAUUAAAUCACUAUAUUAAAUAUAUCAUUUUUUACAAUUUUCAAUUGUCAAUAACUUUUAACCAAUAGUAAUUCAAUAAAAUCAAUUAAUUUUCUUGAAGUUUACAAUUUUUUCAUAAAAAACACAAAAAUAUAUAUCCUUAAAACAAACUUCUUUUCUAAAACAUCUAUCUUUUUUUAAACGGAUGGAGUAUUAUUUUCAGCAACUAAAGAUCAAAUAUCAUUAGAGGGCCUUAAACAGAAGGCCCCUGAAAGUUUUGGUGAAUAUAUACGCAAAACUUGGCUAAACUAUCUGCCAACUCAUUUAAAGAACAACAGCAAUAGGAAAAACAAUAAAAAGAAAGAAAAAAGAGGAAAGCGAAGAGAUGUCCGAGAUAACUCCUUGAAGUUCAAUCGAUCCACCAUUCGCGUUGAUAGCUCUCACGAGCUCUUGAGCAUCUUAACGAAACCAGAUCUUAGUGUAGCCAAGGGUUGAGGCAUGGAUCAAUGCCUCUCUAAUUGCAAAUUCCGACAUGCAAACGAACCCUUAUAAGAAUAUUUAGCGCAACUUUAGAAUAUACAUAUAUACGAGUAUGAGUAUACAACUGAUGUUUCAGUAACAUACAUCAUGGAUAUUUGAUCUUUAUAUAAAUAUUUGAUGAACGAAAGAACCUUAAUCCAACAAUUAUCUAGAGACAUGUGAGAGAAUAUUCUCUUUUUUCUCUCUUUCCCGAAAAAACGUUUUUUGUCGAAAAUCUAUUGAUCUGCAUUUAGUGGCUGGCGGCGGUUCUCUUACCGUCGGUCGCCACCCUUCAUUGUUCUCAUGUCUGUUAUUCAAACAUGUUUUGUUCCAGUUUUACAACUCCCUCUUUCCUCUUCAUCUUUAGUUUUGUGUUGGAUUGCGGUCUGAUCCAGUAAAUCAAACCAGAUGUUAGAUGUGUAACUCAAACUCUUCGGAGUGACAGCAAAGUCGUGGUUAGUCGACUGCCUGCAAGAAGCACCUUUUGCAGGUAAAUCUAGAUUUCAACUUUGCUAGAUCUGGGUCAGAUCUAUCUUGAAAGGUUUGCCAAAGUCGUUGUGCAUCGUUGCCGUAGCUUCUCUGGCCAAUAAACUGACUCCUCUGUUUCCUUUGUCUAUGCUCUAUAAGAAUUUUUCCGUUUAGAUUCUACGAUCUGAGACAAAAAGCGACGUUGAGGACAUUGCCGAGGACUUCCUUUUCGUUCUGAUUUCACAACAGCUACCAUGGCCUUUUGUUUGAUUACAUAUCUAUUAUAGUGCUUUGGCUUGUUAAAGGGUUUUAUGUUGUUUCCGUCCAUUUCUUCUUCACUACAGAACUGGAUCCUUUCAGACCUAGUGCAUGUUGAUGGGAGUCUCAGUCUCUUCAGUUUCUAAUAUUCCUAGAAGAGUGGUGGCUACCACCGUUUCUUGCCAUUUCAACGUUCUGAAACCGGAAUCUUUUUGUGCUUUGCUCGCGAAAAGAGACCGAGUCGAGCCAUUAACCCUCUGCUUACUUCUGCUAGUUUCACAUUGAAGCAUUCGACCGCUGGCCUCUUCUCGUUAAAUAGGGAUUCACUGGAAACAGCUUUUGGAGUGUACAUCGUUUAGAGUUGACUUUACUGGGUGAUGGCUGGACUAAGACCUUGUCAACUCUGCUCUGCUUGUCAUUCUUUCGAAGUCGCCUUCAGAAAAAUCUACGGUUCUUCGGAUUGUUCUUCGGCCGUUAUUUCUAUUAUUAUCCUUGCUAUUGUUAUAGGUUCAUGC
RNAcentral lists this long non-coding RNA (4074 nucleotides) under Brassica napus (rape). RNAcentral describes it as "long non-coding RNA (BNAP_LNC019903)". The record is from RNAcentral. Lineage: Eukaryota; Viridiplantae; Streptophyta; Magnoliopsida; Brassicales; Brassicaceae.